GACCAGACCACCCCUCUUCCCCUUCACACUGGAGAGGGAGACCCAUAUAAAGGGGAUCCCCCUCCACGUGUAAAUCUGAGGAAGAGAGUGGAACAAUCCCACAACAUAAGUAUAUCACAUUCAGAAAGCGUGAUUUAUUUAUUUUAAGUUGACUGUGUCCCUGUUAUGUUUCCAUUACUUAUUAAAGACACAGAUAGUAGAGCUGACCAAGGAGAAUCGCAUAUACUUUCCAUUUUAUACUGCAGUCCUGUGGUCUGAAGAAAUAGGUAGACAUACUUUUUCAAAUCCUAUUUUUCUUGCAGCUGCUUCUUCUUCUUCUUUUUGUUAAAAAAGAACUUGCAUCAUUCCUAUUUUCUACAUAGGAAAGAAAGGAAGCCUUUUCAGACAGUAGGCACAAGAAUCAACCUAUCUCAUCAAAUGAAUGUGUGUUCUUCUAACUACAAAGCUAUCCGUAUCAGUUAUGUCUGAAAUGGAAGGUGGGAAAACCUAUAUUACUGAGUUCCAGCUGUUUCUGAAUUUCCCCUGCAUACAAAGGAAGUCAGAGAAAUAAACUUGUCUAUGCAAAUCGCCAGGAG
Mauremys reevesii (Reeves's turtle) is the source of this 575-nucleotide long non-coding RNA. RefSeq lists it as uncharacterized. The transcript is spliced from 3 exons. NCBI's taxonomy places the organism in Eukaryota, Metazoa, Chordata, Testudines, Geoemydidae. The record is from RefSeq and is a predicted model, not a curated record.